Molecule: ribosomal RNA, 278 nt
Filed under: uncultured eukaryote
Lineage: Eukaryota
Description: partial 18S ribosomal RNA
Rfam family: Eukaryotic small subunit ribosomal RNA
Source: RNAcentral
UACAAUAUGCUUGUCUCAAGGAUUAAGCCAUGCAUGUCCAAGUAUAAGCACAUCUUAUACAGUGAAACUGCGUACAGCUCAUUAAAUCAGUUAUUAUUUCUUUGAAGGUGUGAUACAAACUACAUGGAGAUAACUGUAGAAAAUCUAGAGCUAAUACAUGCGUCGAGCUCCUUUUGCGUUGAGCGGGGGGAGUGUGUUUAUUAGAUCCGAGCCUCUUGGGUGUGGUGGCGACAUUGCACUCUUUGUUGGUGAAUCAUGGUAACCGUUUCGGAGCCAGG